CAAAAGGGACCAAAGUCCACCUCGCAUUAAGACCUCAAAGACCAUUGGAAUAACCACAGCAAAGAGCCAAAAAGCCACCACAUUUCCCCUUCUCUCUCUCUCUCUCUCAGAGCUUGAGAGAGUGUGUAAUUGUUUUGAUCUUGUUUUCUGGGUUGAUCCACCGACCCGAAGCUUCGAUUCCAUCGGAGGAGACCCACAGCCCGAGCCUGGUCCUGACGGCGGACACCAAGCUGCAGCCUCCGAUGGACGGCUGACCUCCACGAGCGAUUCGUCGACGCCGUCGCCCAGCUCGGGGCCCCCGAAAGUUGGUACCUUUUUGCCUUUUGCUGCAACUGUUCCCUGGUUCUCCAUCAUCAAUGACCGAAAGAAGCAACACCAAAGGCUAUCAUGCAAACGAUGGGUGCUAUAAAGGGCUGAAACUUUUUCACCUGAAGAGUCAUCUCCAGAAAUACAGAUCAGGAAAGCAAUCAGGCAAAGAAAUGACUGAACAGUCAAAAGAUGGCAGCUUCCUGCAUUUUAGAGAAUAGGAGCAGCAGUGCUUUAUCUCCAAAAAGUACCUACUCUUGAUGUCAGCACGAUGCAUGAGCAUGUCGGGAAACAUUGGACAUGGUUGGUGCUCCUGCUUUUAGGGGUCAGGAAGUGAAAGAGGCACUAAGAGCACAAAUGGAAGUGCAAAGACUGCUUGAACAAG
Musa acuminata subsp. malaccensis (wild Malaysian banana) is the source of this 691-nucleotide non-coding RNA. Lineage: Eukaryota; Viridiplantae; Streptophyta; Magnoliopsida; Zingiberales; Musaceae. The record is from RefSeq and is a predicted model, not a curated record.